RNAcentral lists this ribosomal RNA (253 nucleotides) under uncultured bacterium. RNAcentral's name for it is "partial 16S ribosomal RNA". It matches the Rfam family "Bacterial small subunit ribosomal RNA", at positions 524 to 776 of the family's 1533-position model. The record is from RNAcentral.
UACAGAGGUCUCAAGCGUUGUUCGGAUUCAUUGGGCGUAAAGGGUGCGUAGGCGGCGCGGUAAGUCGGGUGUGAAAUCUCGGAGCUUAACUCCGAAACUGCAUUCGAUACUGCCGUGCUUGAGGACUGGAGAGGAUACUGGAAUUUACGGUGUAGCAGUGAAAUGCGUAGAUAUCGUAAGGAAGACCAGUGGCGAAGGCGGGUCUCUGGACAGUUCCUGACGCUGAGGCACGAAGGCCAGGGGAGCAAACGGG